Xylaria sp. FL0043 is the source of this 113-nucleotide non-coding RNA. NCBI's taxonomy places the organism in Eukaryota, Fungi, Ascomycota, Sordariomycetes, Xylariales, Xylariaceae. The record is from the annotation of a GenBank genome assembly.
GGGCGAAUGGUCUAGGGGUAUGAUAUUUGCUUUGCAUUAAAUUUGUGAUCAUUCAGAUGAUUCAAAUCUCUUGUGCUUGCAAAGGGUCCGGGGUUCAAAUCCCCGUUCGUCCA